GGCCUAUUAGCUCAGUUGGUUAGAGCGUCGUGCUAAUAACGCGAAGGUGUUGGGUUUGAUCGCCCUAUGGGCCA
Araneus ventricosus is the source of this 74-nucleotide non-coding RNA. NCBI's taxonomy places the organism in Eukaryota, Metazoa, Arthropoda, Arachnida, Araneae, Araneidae. The record is from the annotation of a GenBank genome assembly.